Molecule: ribosomal RNA, 426 nt
Filed under: uncultured bacterium
Lineage: Bacteria
Description: bacterial SSU rRNA
Rfam family: Bacterial small subunit ribosomal RNA
Source: RNAcentral
AGGAGGAAUAUUGCGCAAUGGGCGAAAGCCUGACGCAGCAACGCCGCGUGGGCGAUGAAGGCCUUCGGGUCGUAAAGCCCUUUUCUGGGGGAAGAGGAAGGACGGUACCCCAGGAAUAAGCCUCGGCGAACUACGUGCCAGCAGCCGCGGUAAAACGUAGGAGGCGAGCGUUAUCCGGAUUUACUGGGCGUAAAGGGCAUCUAGGCGGUGCCUUAAGUUGGGCAUGAAAUCCUCCGGCUUAACUGGAGGGGGCUGUCCAAUACUGGGGUACUUGAGGGCAGGAGAGGAAAGCGGAAUUCCCGGUGUAGCGGUAAAAUGCGUAGAUAUCGGGAGGAACACCAGUGGCGAAGGCGGCUUUCUGGCCUGACCCUGACGCUGAAGUGCGAAAGCGUGGGUAGCGAACGGGAUUAGAAACCCCAGUAGUCC